This 585-nucleotide ribosomal RNA is filed under the name uncultured bacterium. RNAcentral's name for it is "partial 16S ribosomal RNA". It matches the Rfam family "Bacterial small subunit ribosomal RNA", at positions 355 to 1375 of the family's 1533-position model. The record is from RNAcentral.
UGGGGAAUUUUGGACAAUGGGCGAAAGCCUGAUCCAGCAAUGCCGCGUGUGUGAAGAAGGCCUUCGGGUUGUAAAGCACUUUUGUCCGGAAAGAAAUCCUUGGCUCUAAUACAGUCGGGGGAUGACGGUACCGGAAGAAUAAGCACCGGCUAACUACGUGCCAGCAGCCGCGGUAAUACGUAGGGUGCAAGCGUUAAUCGGAAUUACUGGGCGUAAAGCGUGCGCAGGCGGUUUGCUAAGACCGAUGUGAGAUCCCCGGGCUCAACCUGGGAACUGCAUUGGUGACUGGCAGGCUAGAGUAUGGCAGAGGGGGGUAGAAUUCCACGUGUAGCAGUGAAAUGCGUAGAGAUGUGGAGGAAUACCGAUGGCGAAGGCAGCCCCCUGGGCCAAUACUGACGCUCAUGCACGAAAGCGUGGGGAGCAAACAGGAUUAGAUACCCUGGUAGUCCACGCCCUAAACGAUGUCAACUAGUUGUUGGGGAUUCAUUUCCUUAGUAACGUAGCUAACGCGUGAAGUUGACCGCCUGGGGAGUACGGUCGCAAGAUUAAAACUCAAAGGAAUUGACGGGGUCAUAGCUGUUUCCU